Molecule: RNA transcript, 8348 nt
Organism: Pseudopipra pipra
Lineage: Eukaryota; Metazoa; Chordata; Aves; Passeriformes; Pipridae
Gene: ARHGAP22
Gene name: Rho GTPase activating protein 22
Exons: 11
Source: RefSeq, a predicted model, not a curated record
CCGUGAGGGAUGCAGUGCGCAGCAGGCGGCCCAGCACGCCUCUGCCCUCAGGACCAGCGCACUUGGUAUUUCUUAUAAUGCAGAAGAAAUCACGACGAGUCAGGUUCAGCUCCUGAUCUGAUCCUUGUCGAGUCAAAGCAUCUGUUGAGCGCGACUGGAGGAAGAUGCAGACCAGGAGCGGGGAUCCGCGCCGCUCCCUGGAAGCGGCACAUUGAUCAUUGGCCGCGUGGCCAAUUAGCGGCAGGAGCCAGGUCCAGCCCUCGUGUCUGCGCUCUGGUGAUCUAUCGCCAAUAAUUACCGACGCACUUAAUGCCUAGUUUGGAUGGGAAUUAAUUGGAGGCCGGAUAAAUAAUGCAUUAGGGUUUAUUCAGCCCCAUGUGAAGCGUCUCUCCCGAGCCAGAGCUGGAAGCGGCGAGAAGCGGCGUCUGAGCGGCGGUGGCGGCGAUGCGCGGGGCGGCGGCCGGGGCCGGGUGCUGAUGCUGCGAGCAGCGCCCAGCCGGGAGCAUGCUGAGCCCCAAGAUCAGGCAGGCCAGGAGAGCCCGGUCAAGGAGUUUGGUGAUGGGUGAACAGAUUGGGCCUCCCUCCAGACCUUCUUCUCCAAACCCUCAAGAACGUGUGCUGAAGUGUGGCUGGCUAAAGAAACAAAGGAGCAUUAUGAAGAACUGGCAGCAGCGAUGGUUUGUGCUGCGUGGGGAUCAGCUCUUCUAUUACAAGGAUGAAGAGGAAACUAAACCUCAGGGUUUGAUAUUACUGCAAGGCAAUCAGGUGAACGAGCUGCCACCUAAUCCUGAUGAACCAGGAAAACAUCUCUUUGAAAUUACCCCAGGUGGCGCAGGGGACCGGGAAAAGAUGCCUGUCAAUCAUGAGGCUUUCCUGCUCAUGGCUAAUUCCCAGAACGAAAUGGAAGAUUGGGUAAAAGCCAUCCGACGGGUUAUAUGGGCUCCAUUUGGUGGAGGUAUUGCAAAUAGCUCACAUGCACAUAAAUUAAAACAUUUGCCUCAAGGGAUCUUUGGACAGCGGUUGGAGGACACCGUACAGUACGAGCGGAAGUAUGGCCAGCGCUUGGCCCCGCUGCUGGUGGAACAGUGUGUGGAUUUUAUUCGGGAGCGAGGUCUUACAGAGGAGGGGCUCUUUCGGAUGCCUGGACAAGCCAACCUUGUCAAAGAUCUGCAGGAUUCUUUUGAUUGUGGAGAGAAACCCCUUUUUGACAGCAACACAGAUGUUCACACUGUGGCGUCCCUCCUGAAGCUUUACCUUCGAGAGCUGCCAGAGCCUGUCAUCCCCUUUGCCAAAUAUGAAGACUUUCUUUCUUGUGGACAGCUACUCUCAAAAGAUGAAGGAGAGGGAACCCAGGAACUGGUUAAACAGGUGAAGAAUUUGCCCCAAGCCAACUACAACCUCCUCAAAUACAUAUGCAAGUUCCUCGAUGAAGUUCAGGCUCACUCCAGCAUUAACAAGAUGAGUGUCCAGAACCUGGCUACAGUAUUUGGACCAAAUAUAUUACGUCCCAAAAUGGAAGAUCCAGUGACCAUGAUGGAAGGCACCUCACUAGUUCAACACCUGAUGACAGUGCUGAUAAGUGAACAGGGGCGAAUCUUUGCUGUUCCUCAGGCAGACGUGCCAGGGAGCCAGCUGGAAAUCAGGCCCGUGCGGCAGCGCAGUACUGUGGAGUGGAUCUCUGAGGAGGACGGGGAGGACAGCAGGUCGGAGAACAGUGCUCCCAGCCCCGCUGAUUUGCCUUCUAGCAAUGCUGUGGCACUAGAGGCCACCCCAGGACCUGCAGUGAAAAACACUCCUCCAGAGCAUAGUGGCAAAUUAACUCAGCCUGCCACCAGCCCCAGUAAAAGAGUGCAGACACUGCCUCCAUGGAAAUACUCCUUCCGCCAGCAGGGAGCACGGUCUGUGAGUCCAAAGCUCGGCAGCUCAUCAUUAGAUAUCCCCAAUCUCUCCUCCAGUGGGAACUGGUUGAUGAACGGACUGUACUCACUCCGAGGCCACCGCCGGACAGCAUCUGGGGAGCGAGUUAAAGACUCAUGUUCCUCCCAGAGACUCUCCACUUAUGACAACGUCCCCUUGUCCAGCCUGUCCCUCAGCACACACAGCAUGGCCAGCACUACAUGGUCAACGUCGUCAUGUGAGAUUUCCGUGAUGGACUCAGUCAGCAGCUGCCCAGCCUGCCGGGCCAGUGACUCUUCUGCUUUAAGCUCUCUCAAAACCGAGUGGAUAACUCAGGGCUCGCUGUCUCAGAGCGAGGGCAAGACUGCAGACCUGGAAAACAGCAUGGACAGGUUUGAUGCAUGCAGCAGCAGCAGCAGCGAACAGAGCGACCCAGCUGCAGCUUCCCGAGACUCUGUCCAAUGCUCCAGGGCCUUACAGAGCUUGGUGGUGGAGCUAAAGACAGAACUGAGCAAACAGAGGACUGAGUAUGAGACUAGUAUCAAAAGAAUUGAAGAAACAAGUGCAGACCUGAGGAAACAAGUGGUUAGGUUAGAAGAAGAACUGGACCAAGAACGAAAGAAAUACACGAUGCUGGAGAUCAAGCUGAGGAAUUCUGAACGUGCUCGUGAAGAUGCUGAGAAGAGAAAUUACCUCCUGCAGAAGGAAAUGGAGGAGUUUUUUUCAACAUUAGGAUGUUUAACUCUUGGGAGUCAAAGUGCUAAAGUCCCCAAGUAGAACAAGCACAGAAAUUUCUACUUCUGGCAAAAUGAGUGAAAAUGCACACUUUGUUCCAGUGUACUCAUGUAUCAUGAGUAAUUCUACAGUGAUUGCGCUAUUGGUGACACUUGCUCUGUUGUCUUUACAUGUGCUAUAGUAUUUGGGCAAGCUGGGAAAGUGUGACCAUAAUGCUUGAAAGUUUAGAUGUCAGAUGGCCAGGAAAGGGGCCCCCUUUAAUAUCCACAGAACAAAAGACACUCUUCUCCAGAGUUGUCCUGCCAUCUUUGGAUUCAAAUGCACCAUCGUUUCGCUGGCUCAAGAACAGUGGGAAGUCCUGCAGCAGGGGUGGAUGGCCAGAACCGAUGGACAGGCUGAGCCAGGAGAUGAGGGCCUCCUGCACUUGUGCCUGGGGAGAUGGCAGUUCCAGUCUGGCACCACAGCCAGUGGGGUUGUAUACCAGAUGGAUUCUAAUGAGGUGGUUUUCUCCUCACUCCAUACAUAAAGUUUGUUCAAAUUUCUCAUUCCUAAAGUGGCAUUAUUUUAUGAAGAUACUGUGAAAACAAAAUCUACAAAAAAGCUGAAGAUACCAAAAUCUUGACAGUUCACUAAAAUGGUCCCUUACCUGCCAAACAGUUUCAGUGUUUCAUAAAAAUGCAACUUAUUAAACUGUAUGUGAUUAAUAAUCAGAUUGGCUACACAAACUCCAUGGAACUUUAAAUAUGCACAUUUUGCCCUAGGUAUCUGGGGGAUUUUUGAGCCAAAAAUAGACCAGUAUUAGCUGCAAGAAAAAAACAUUUCAUGAGUUGAUUUAUGUCAUAAAGAUAGAAUAUGGAAUAUCAGUCAUCAAGGUAGAAUAUGGAAGAUUCUUAUCAUCAAAAGACAUCCAACUGAUCCAGCUGCUGAGGGUUUUUAAUCUAUAAAACUCUAAUAGCAAAACCUAUGGCUCUCCAGCAGCACUGGAUUCCUUCCUGCCCGUGGAGUGAGGCAGCAGGUACCCGUCUGUUCAGCAGCACCCGCCUGCCACCUGCAGGCACAAGCAUCACCCCCACCUUCCUUCUCCAUCUCUGCCUUAGGUUAUUACUGAUGGUCACAAGUGAUCUUGCAUGGAAUAGGAUGGCCAUUUAAAACAGCAGCAUUAAGAUCCAUAAUAAUGUGAGAGAGAAGCAGUUGUUGUAACAAUGACUGAGCUGGAAGAGCACAGUGUGGCAUGGAGCUGCAAUACCAGGCCAGUUAUCACAAAAUAAACCUAAAUAUUGGAGGGUGGCCUGACUCAGGGUGUAAGUAGAAAAUCAGGACUGAUAAAAAGGAAGUUUCUACUGAUAACAUUCAAUACAACUAGUAGUAACAACCAGGGUAUUUCAAUGCCCUCUCUUACUGCUAUCCCAAAAGUGGAAACCUUUCACUGUAGCCAUCCUGAUGGCUCACACAUCCCUUAGACUAUACUGCAUUAUCUCCUAUAUCUAUCAAGUGCAGACUGCUCCCUUUAGUUUGGGGACACUACAAACUUGGGAACUGAGCCAUGAUGACUGGGAGACUAAACACCAAAUAUGCAAGACAAGCAGUGAACAGGACUGCUGGCCAACUCUGUAAGUAUUUAACCUUAGGUAACUACUACAUACAGCAGAACUGGGGAACAAACCUACCUAUCCCAAACCUUCAGCUCCAGGACAGGACAAUCUGUCAGAUCUGCAGGAGUAAAAUUACUCUGGCAUUCAGGAUAAAAUUAAUUCUUCUUUUCAAUGUCACAAAUGAAACAGUAUACACUCAAACUGAUUAGUGAAACUAAACAGUUGUAGGUUGACUGUUGUGCUCCAGCACCAUCUAUGCCUCUUGUUCAUGAGGAAUAAAUUCCAGCUCCUUUUGAAGAUGAGACGCUGCAGUAAACAAAGCCUGCAAGAAGCUGCAAACUACCCAGUUCACACUAAAAUUCACGAUGGUAGGAUGUUAACUCUUAAGUGCGGCAACAGGAGUAUAAUGUUCAUUUCCAGACAUGGGCAAUUAUACAAGAAAUGGGAAUCCACCUGUGCUGUUGUACACACCUCAUGGAACACUAUGCCCUUAUUUGAGGAAGAUGAUACACUCUUUCCUAGUUUUAACUGCUGUUUCCAUACUCUUUUCCCACCACUUCAUUUCCCCAUAUCAAGCAUCCUUAUUUUGCAGACCUUUCGCUCAUUACAGCCCCUGAUUUAAAUGUCAGCUUUCUUAGCAAGUGUUUACAAAAUACAGGUUGGUAAUAUUACUUAACAUGACAAAAGGUUCCUGGAAUCAGGUAGAAAUGUUUUUACCAUAGCUUCACCUGUGCAAUCUUCCAGUAUUUUGCAGGCAAAAAAGCAUAAAAACUUUUCAGUGAAAAAAAAACAACACAAGCAUAUACUUUAAAAAAAAAUCAAAACAGCAAUGCUUCAGAAUAACAAAAAAACCCUUCUGAAGGUCUCCAUGUAAUUUCUAACACAAAAAGGAAAAUGAACGAAGGUAGCUCAUUGAAUCAUCUACAUUCACCAGCGAGUUCCAUUGAAGCCAGCAGCACUAAGCAGUGUUUCAGUCCUGAGUCACCCACACACAAAUCCUGGGCAGAGCUAAGAUUGUCUCUCCAGCCUUGCUCUGUUAUUGGCAUAUCAUUUGAAAUUGGCUGCCCUUUAUGCUGACAUGCAAAUAAAGAAAAGCACUUGUGAGUCCCACCACAUUCCUAGAAGAACAUCUCACAAACAGCUGGCCCAGAGAAACAAAGCUGGCUACAAUGUACUGCAGGAGUCACAGUCCCUCUCCCUUGAAACUGUACACGGACGCCAACAGCACAGCUCAAGGGCAUCUGCAGUCUUUGUUCAAGGAAACACCCACACCCUGCUGGAAGUGAAGGCAAUCAAACGCAUUUUGUGUUAGGAUUUACCCACAGCAGAGGGGCCAGCAAGUGGUCUGGGCACACAAGUCAGCUCUCCAGAAGUCAGAUCCUUCAGGCUUCUCUGAGACUCAGUUCUAGUCCCAUACACUAGACAACCCAUGGCUUACCUCUUUCUGCAGCACAGGGUCUUGGCAGAUGUAUUUCCAGGAAAUAAAGUGGCUAGAGCUAGCAGCAAGGAGGCAAGAACACAUUCCCAGUGGCUGCAAAGACACGUGGCUGUUAACAGUCUGUGGCACAUCCAAAGUCAGUGGGAAUGGAGAGACGGAAAAAACAUGUCACUUUGCCCAUGAGUGAGCUCACACACAAGACAGGACUUGAAGUACCAUUAAAAACCAGAUGAAUUCUCAAGAAGUACUGACAAUAAUAAGAUUUCAAGUGCAGCCUUUUUAUGCAAUCCAUAUGAAACCGUUCUAGCCUAGCAAUGAAGAAACACUAAAUGCAUAGUGGUCAAACUUUUUUUUUUUCUUUUUUAUUUAAAAUAUCAUUAUAACCAAUUGACAUACUAGAUAACAAUGUAUACAUUCCAGUGGUGCACAUGUAAUGACCUAUGGCAUGAAUGAGUAAAAAAACCCACAAUGUUCUCAGUAAUGCCCCACCAACAGCUUAUUUGGAGGGAAUAAAGGAAGAGGGAAAGCAGGAAAAAGUAUCAAAUGUGGGGAAGAAAAAAGAAUUACAGUUUUCCCCAGUAUUUUUAAUGGUGUAUCUUCAUAUUUCUUGGGACAUAAUAAAAUUAAGAAUAUACUUCAAAAGGGGCAGAAGGAAUGAUCACAAUAAUUGGGGUGGGAUUUUUUUUUCUCAACUUUAGUAAUAAAAGUUAAAGAACUCUCAAAAAUAGACUAGAUAUUGGGCCUACAAAAGUAAUUCAUCUGUAUGCAAAGCUUACCAAGAAUUAUUCCUUUUGUAAAAUGUAAAGGAUGAGUUGACAUUACUAGUAAGCUAUUUUUACCCUACAAAACCAGACUACAAUAAUAAAAUCACCAAUUUACAGCUAACACAAUAUUCUAGAUGUACAUUACUGUACACAAGCUAUAUAUUACACAUGAACAUCUUACGUGAAAUAUAUAAGAAACAUACUUACUGAUAUUGUCUCAACAUUGGCCAAUAGGUUUGUUUUUCUAAAGGAGGUGUAUUUUUCUAUUCACAUUCAGUGUAGUUCCAAUAGCAAGGGUUAGCUUUGCUUACUUAAGAAACGUAGAAAGUUUGUGUGAGGUAGUUCAAGAAAACCUAGCUUAAAUUUUUUAACUGCAGAAUUAGAAACACAAUGUGACCUGAUUCAUAACACAUUUCUAUAAUGCAGACAUAUCUAAAGAGGAGGAAGGAGUGAAAGAGACCACUUAAAAUACCACUUUUAUCCAGUGCCCUAAACUAGGAAUAAAUUAAAUUAAUUGAAAAUUUGAGUAGGCGGUACAGUCUCAUCACAUUUCUUCAUUAGAACUCUUUCUAAUCCUACUGAAAAAUGCAGACAGGCUCUCCUUCAACUCCAGUCCUCAACCUAAAUAUGUAAGAACCAAACCACUGAUAGGAAAAUAAAAUAUAACAGCAUGGAGAAGCUGCUGCCAACAGCAAACAAAACCAUUUCUAGAAACCAUAAUUCAUGCCAUUUAGUGACCUGAAAGAGUAAGACUGAGUGUAAGCUGAACCUUCUUCCCCCCUUUCCCCCAUAAUCUUAAUUGAGAAACUUUAUCACACACUUUGGAUUAUUGGCUGGGUAGAACCAUCCUCCUGUAGGAGCUUUUUGACCAUUUUUCUUCAUGCACUGUUGAGCUGAAUGCCACAUCAUCCCUCCCUCCCUGCAGGGCCCCUGGCCAGGUGCUCAGUGUUGGCUCCACUGACCAUUCCAAGAGGAUUGCACGGACCGUCCCCGUGGGACCCUCAGACAGCAAGGGGUGCUACUGCUGUGGCCUGGCACCCCCUCAGCACCCACCCUGUGGUGGGGAUGUGGGGACUACACACACAGACACACAGACGCAGUCAUACACAGACACUCCCCCCCACACAUACCCAUACACCCCCCGAACAAACAAUUUAUGAUACUCUGUAUCUAGCUGGAAUUCCUAUCCAAAAACAUACCACUGCACCCAGCACAGCAAGGUUCUUCAAAGCUAAAAUCCCGAGCAGUGCAGCUCACGCAGGGCAAGUGCUGUGUCUGUUGAGCAGAGCAGAAUGAACCGGGGCUGCCCUGGACAGUCAGGCUGGGCUGAGAGUUUUGAUCUGCCAGCCCAGCUGCUCACACACACCAACACACAGUGAAACAUCAGUUCUGACCCCAUUGUCUUGCAUCAGAAAAGGCCUUACAACGCAGUACUGCAGCACACCAUCAUGGUACUCAUUCCCACCUGCCCCCCCACACUUCUAUUUCAAAUUCUUGAAGAACCUAGUUCUACAAAAGGAGAGUGCUGUUUUAUCCUUGAUGCAUGCCACAGCUCUGACCAAAGGAGGUGGAAAUCAAUCUCACUAUUAUUGCCCAACAUUUAAUCUCACCUGACAUAAGAGAUCAGACAGCUCAUUGUAAUUCAAUCCCUACCAAUUCUCCAACGGAUUAGAACAGCCCUAGGAAGUUGCAUGCACUCUAGUGAAGCCCAUUGUCAUGAGAAGAUUUUGAAACAGUCUAAAAUAAAGCUUAACUGUACUUUAGGAAUAAAACUGUACAGUGUACUGGACAACAUAUAAUCUAACAAACAAUAGACAAAGACAGCUCAACUCCAGUUACCUAUUUGUUUGCUAUCUGUGGUGGUGUACAACUAUCGCUUAAGUAAUUUUAUAUUUCAGCAAAUAAAAAGGAAAGUUAAGACUA